RNAcentral lists this transfer RNA (74 nucleotides) under Thermoguttaceae bacterium. RNAcentral's name for it is "tRNA-Val". It matches the Rfam family "tRNA". From Rfam's summary of the family: Transfer RNA (tRNA) molecules are approximately 80 nucleotides in length. Their secondary structure includes four short double-helical elements and three loops (D, anti-codon, and T loops). Lineage: Bacteria; Pseudomonadati; Planctomycetota; Planctomycetia; Pirellulales; Thermoguttaceae. The record is from RNAcentral.
GGGCGACUAGCUCAGUUGGUUAGAGCGCCGCUUUCACACGGCGGAGGUCGCUGGUUCGAAUCCUGCGUCGCCCA